Non-coding RNA from Komagataeibacter nataicola, 414 nucleotides. The record is from Rfam. NCBI's taxonomy places the organism in Bacteria, Pseudomonadati, Pseudomonadota, Alphaproteobacteria, Acetobacterales, Acetobacteraceae.
CCAGACGGUCGGACGGUCGCUGCCACGUGGUCAUACACGUGAUGGAGGAAAGUCCGGGCUCCACGGAAGAACGGUGCCGGCUAACGGCCGGCGGGGGCAACCCCAGGGACAGUGCCACAGAAAACAGACCGCCCUCACGGCGGCGCACGCAGCAAUGCGGGCGACGUUGGGGGCAAGGGUGAAACGGUGCGGUAAGAGCGCACCGCAUGCAUGGUAACAUGGAUGGCAGGGCAAACCCCACCGGGAGCAAGACCGAAUAGGAACGGCGGAUGGGCCGCAAGGCGCCAUCAGGGGUUUUUCCGCCCUGUCGUUCGGGUUGGUCGCGUCAGGUGCGUAGCAAUGCGCAUCGCAGAGGAAUGAUCGUCCCGCCCCGCAGGGGGCGGACAGAACCCGGCUUACAGACCGUCUGGCAUU